Branchiostoma floridae (Florida lancelet) is the source of this 313-nucleotide long non-coding RNA. RefSeq lists it as uncharacterized. The transcript has 3 exons. NCBI's taxonomy places the organism in Eukaryota, Metazoa, Chordata, Leptocardii, Amphioxiformes, Branchiostomatidae. The record is from RefSeq and is a predicted model, not a curated record.
UGUAUUGUCAUCGUCUUGGUUGGCAGCUCGGAUGCCUGGUGGGGGUCCAACAAACAGGCUGAGAAAAAGGAAACAGUCCCGGGGGGCAGUGAGGCCAAGGACGUAACAUCCAGAAACACUGGAGAAGAGCCCAUCGUGCAAACCGUUCAUUACUUCGUGAACGGUACUACGAUUCCUACCAACCUGUGCUGCACAACUUGACCAAGUGACAUCAAUGAGUGUAACGAAAACACUUGCAAGCAUGGGCAAUGUAUGAGCCAAGCUGGUAGCUACAAAUGUAUCUGCUCGCCUGGAUGGACUGGACAGAACUGUC